Molecule: transfer RNA, 93 nt
Filed under: Psychromonas sp. 14N.309.X.WAT.B.A12
Lineage: Bacteria; Pseudomonadati; Pseudomonadota; Gammaproteobacteria; Alteromonadales; Psychromonadaceae
Description: tRNA-OTHER
Source: RNAcentral
CGGUGAUUAGCGCAUCUUGGUAGCGCAUCUCCAUGUUUUGGGUAAAAGUUGGACCAGAAGUGUUUUUAGGUUCGAAUCCUCUAUCACCGACCA